UACGGAGGAUGCAAGCGUUAUCCGGAAUGAUUGGGCGUAAAGCGUCCGCAGGUGGCAAUGUAAGUCUGCUGUCAAAGCGUCUGGCUCAACCAGAUAAAGGCAGUGGAAACUACAUAGCUAGAGUGAGGUAGGGGUAGAGGGAAUUCCUGGUGUAGCGGUGAAAUGCGUAGAGAUCAGGAAGAACACCGGUGGCGAAAGCGCUCUGCUGGACCUAAACUGACACUGAGGGACGAAAGCUAGGGGAGCGAAUGGG
This 253-nucleotide ribosomal RNA is filed under the name uncultured bacterium. Its description in RNAcentral is "partial 16S ribosomal RNA". It matches the Rfam family "Bacterial small subunit ribosomal RNA", at positions 524 to 776 of the family's 1533-position model. The record is from RNAcentral.